GCCUUUGCCAACCUGGUAUCUUCCAGAUGUUUUGGACUUAAAACUUCCAUCAGCCCUGCUGAUUGAGGCCAAUGGGAGUUGUAGUCCAAAAUAUCUGGAGGCUACCAGGUUGCCAAAGGC
This is a non-coding RNA of Podarcis lilfordi (Lilford's wall lizard), 120 nucleotides long. The record is from the annotation of a GenBank genome assembly. NCBI's taxonomy places the organism in Eukaryota, Metazoa, Chordata, Lepidosauria, Squamata, Lacertidae.